RNAcentral lists this ribosomal RNA (425 nucleotides) under uncultured bacterium. RNAcentral's name for it is "partial 16S ribosomal RNA". It matches the Rfam family "Bacterial small subunit ribosomal RNA", at positions 354 to 796 of the family's 1533-position model. The record is from RNAcentral.
GUUAGGAAUCUUCCACAAUGGGGGCAACCCUGAUGGAGCAACACCGCGUGCUGGAUGAAGGCCUUCGGGUCGUAAACAGCUUUUGUAUACGAAGAAUAUGACGGUAAUAUACGAAUAAGGGUCGGCUAACUACGUGCCAGCAGCCGCGGUCAUACGUAGGACCCAAGCGUUAUCCGGAGUGACUGGGCGUAAAGAGUUGCGUAGGCGGCUUAUUAAGCGAGUAGUGAAAUCUGGUGGCUCAACCAUCAACACAUUGCUCGAACUGAUAGGCUUGAGAAUGGUAGAGGUAGUUGGAAUUUCUUGUGUAGGAGUGAAAUCCGUAGAUAUAAGAAGGAACACCAAUGGCGUAGGCAGACUACUGGACCAUUUCUGACGCUGAGGCACGAAAGCGUGGGGAGCGAACCGGAUUAGAUACCCUGGAGUCC